GGGGUGCUCGAGUGGCGAACGGGUGAGCAACACGUGAGUAACCUGCCCUUGACUUUGGGAUAACUUCAGGAAACUGGGGCUAAUACCGGAUAGGAGCUCCUGCUGCAUGGUGGGGGUUGGAAAGUUUCGGCGGUUGGGGAUGGACUCGCGGCUUAUCAGCUUGUUGGUGGGGUAGUGGCUUACCAAGGCUUUGACGGGUAGCCGGCCUGAGAGGGUGACCGGCCACAUUGGGACUGAGAUACGGCCCAG
RNAcentral lists this ribosomal RNA (249 nucleotides) under uncultured Actinomycetales bacterium. Its description in RNAcentral is "partial 16S ribosomal RNA". It matches the Rfam family "Bacterial small subunit ribosomal RNA", at positions 84 to 334 of the family's 1533-position model. Lineage: Bacteria; Bacillati; Actinomycetota; Actinomycetes; Actinomycetales. The record is from RNAcentral.